Long non-coding RNA from Canis lupus familiaris (dog), 387 nucleotides. RefSeq lists it as uncharacterized. NCBI's taxonomy places the organism in Eukaryota, Metazoa, Chordata, Mammalia, Carnivora, Canidae. The record is from RefSeq and is a predicted model, not a curated record. The transcript has 3 exons.
UUACAUCACCACUAAAUUCAGCAAGUACAGAGGCUGAUUGCAGAGAUAAACAGGCAGAGCCCACUGGAGGCCAGCAUGGAUCCUGUAUGUCUAGAUGUAAGCUCUUUAUCCAUGAGAUACAUCAGCUAACUCAUUAACUAAAGGGAAGCAUCAACACUAAGACAGCUGGGAGUUUCCUGGAGAAGUUCAUACUCUGACUGCCUCAAAUAUUUGUCAACGGGCUGCAGGGGCAGCAGCGGUGGUGCAGCGACUACCUGCAACCCGGGGUGUGACCCUGAAGACCCAGGAUCCAGUCCCACGUCCGGCUCCCUGCAUGGAGCCUGUUUCUCCCUCUGCCUCUCUCUCCGUGUAUCCCAUGAAUAAAUAAAUAAAAUAUUUUAAAAUAUA